CCUACGGGAGGCAGCAGUGAGGAAUAUUGGUCAAUGGCCGAGAGGCUGAACCAGCCAAGUCGCGUGAGGGAAGAAUGUCCUAUGGGUUGUAAACCUCUUUUGUCAGGGAGCAAAGUCACCCACGUGUGGUUUUUGUAUAGUACCUUAAGAAAAAGCAUCGGCUAACUCCGUCCCCGCAGCCGCGGUACUACGGAGGAUGCGAGCGUUAUCCGGAUUUAUUGGGUUUAACGGGUGCGUAGGCGGGUUAUCAAGUCAGCGGUAAAAGUGUGGAGCUAAACUCCAUACAGCCGUUGAAACUGAUGAUCUUGAGUGGGCGAGAAGUAUGCGGAAUGCGUGGUGUAGCGGUGAAAUGCAUAGAUAUCACGCAGAACUCCGAUUGCGAAGGCAGCAUACCGGCGCCCGACUGACGCUGAAGCACGAAAGUGUGGGUAUCGAACAGGAUUAGAUACCCGGGUAGUC
Molecule: ribosomal RNA, 459 nt
Filed under: uncultured bacterium
Lineage: Bacteria
Description: partial 16S ribosomal RNA
Rfam family: Bacterial small subunit ribosomal RNA
Source: RNAcentral